Molecule: ribosomal RNA, 1528 nt
Filed under: metagenome
Description: bacterial SSU rRNA
Rfam family: Bacterial small subunit ribosomal RNA
Source: RNAcentral
AGGGUUUGAUCCUGGCUCAGAACGAACGCUGGCGGCGUGGAUUAGGCAUGCAAGUCGAGCGAGAACCGUUACUUUGGCAACAGAGUGCGGGGAAAGCGGCGAAAGGGUGAGUAACGUAUAGAUAACCUACCCUCUUGUCGGGGAUAACUCAGGGAAACUUGAGCUAAUACCCGAUUGGCUCGGGGCUCCGCAUGGAGCUUCGAGUAAAGAUAGCCUCUCAAUGAAGCUUUCGCAGGAGGAGGGGUCUAUAUCCUAUCAGCUAGUUGGUGAGGUAACGGCUCACCAAGGCAUUGACGGGUAGCCGACCUUAGCGGGUGACCGGCCACACUGGGACUGAGACACUGCCCAGACUCCUACGGGAGGCUGCAGUCGAGAAUCUUCCACAAUGGGCGAAAGCCUGAUGGAGCGACGCCGCGUGCGUGACUGAAGGCCUUCGGGUUGUAAACCGCUGUCACAGGUUAAGAAACGUUAGGGGGUGAAGAGCCCCCUAGCUUGACAAAGGCCUGAGAGGAAGCCACGGCUAACUUCGUGCCAGCAGCCGCGGUAAGACGAAGGUGGCGAGCGUUGUUCGGAAUCACUGGGCAUAAAGGGCGCGUAGGCGGUCCCUUAAGUCGGAUGUGAAAGCCCCCGGCCCAACCGGGGAACUGCGUCCGAUACUGAGGGACUUGAGGGUCGGAGAGGUGCAUGGAAUUCCUGGUGGAGCGGUGAAAUGCGUUGAUAUCAGGAGGAACACCGGAGGCGAAGGCGAUGCACUGGUCGAUCUCUGACGCUGAGGCGCGAAAGCCAGGGGAGCAAACGGGAUUAGAUACCCCGGUAGUCCUGGCCGUAAACGGUGGGCACUAGGUAGGAGGAAACCUAACUUCUUCCUGCUGCCGCAAAUGCAUUAAGUGCCCCGCCUGGGGAGUAUGGUCGCAAGGCUGAAACUCAAAGGAAUUGACGGGAGCUCACACAAGCGGUGGAGCAUGUUGAUUAAUUCGAAACAACGCGCAGAACCUUACCCGGGUUUGACAUGUAGGUAGUAGUGAACCGAAAGGGGAGCGACUCACUUCUGUGAGAGCCUACACAGGUGUUGCAUGGCUGUCGUCAGCUCGUGUCGUGAGAUGUUAGGUUAAGUCCUAUAACGAGCGAAACCCUUAUCGUUAGUUACCAGCGGUUCGGCCGGGGACUCUAACGAGACUGCCUGUGUUAAACAGGAGGAAGGCGGGGAUGACGUCAAGUCCUCAUGGCCCUUACACCCGGGGCUUCAAACGUGCCACAAUGGUCGGUACAAAGGGCUGCAAGGCUGCGAGGCCAAGCAAAUCCCAAAAAAACCGAUCUCAGUUCGGAUUGUAGGCUGCAACUCGCCUACAUGAAGCUGGAAUCGCUAGUAAUCGUGGAUCAGCUACGCCACGGUGAAUAUGUUCCUGAGCUUUGUACACACCGCCCGUCAAGCCACGAGAGCUGGUAGUACCCGAAGUCGCUGACCCAACCUCACGGAGGGAGGCGCCGACGGUAAGACCGGUGAUUGGGACUAAGUCGUAACAAGGUA